This is a long non-coding RNA of Lemur catta (Ring-tailed lemur), 1079 nucleotides long. RefSeq lists it as uncharacterized. The transcript is spliced from 2 exons. The record is from RefSeq and is a predicted model, not a curated record. Lineage: Eukaryota; Metazoa; Chordata; Mammalia; Primates; Lemuridae.
UGGCCUUCCCGGAUCAGGAACCUGCCCUCACCUUCCCUCCCAGCGCCCUUUUCUCCCUUUCCCUGGGAAAGGGAGACUGCGGGCCCCAGGAAUAAGUUGGGAGUGAGAGACAGCCCAGAUCGCCCCAGAAGGUUCUUUUUGGUCAUUGGUUCCGCCCCAGGGGAGCUUCACCUACAGUCCCCCCUUACCCAGGUUCCAAAUACGGAAGUUGGACGUGCGUCGGUGCGGAGCCAGGCCUCGUUGAGCGCGGAACCGGAGAAGCAGCUCACUGCUUCGGAUUACACCCGCAUUCGAGGGUGGGGGACAGGGGGCAGGGCUCAGAUCUUGCCCCAGACGCACCCCUGGCCUCCGGGAGAGCAAAGGGUCUCGGACAGGUUGGCCUUCCCCAGCCCUCGGUUCCAACAGGCCCGGGAAACCGGCGAGCCGCGAGCAGAACAGAACUAAAAAAGUGAAUCAAUAAUCGAAUAAGAGGCAGUGGGGUGAGAAGCUCGUUUGCCCGACGCGCUGCGUGGGGCUAGAACCGUCUUGGGUCACCCCAGCGUCCUCCUGCAACAUCUGGGCCACUUGCCACCAGCUUUGCAAAGACGCCUGUGAUUUCCUUUGGUCUAUAUUUCUGUCCUAGACUUCGUUCGGUUGAUCGAUGAAGGAGACAAGCUGGCCUGCCGUGAGGUCAGUACAAUCGAUAUGGACCUCCAUGGCGGCUCCGAAGCGGAGAAACCUCCCCGGUUGAUGUGUGCUGGGUUCCACCCACCGAAAGGUUACCGAUUUAGGGUUUCUGCCUCCCGGCUGCCCUUACUGAACUGGAGGGUGUGUGGGUGGGUGAGAAGAAGCCUCAGUCCCCACCCAGGGGAGCCUAUGGGCACACCAAGGCCGGAAACCGUCCCCCACCCUCUCCCACCCGCCCGAGGAGCCGUUACCAUCGAGUCGGGAAGUCUUGGAAGCUCACUGGUAGAUUUCGUUUUUUGAACCUCUCUGCCUCGGAAUCCGACGUCUGGAUCAUUGCGCAGUCACUCUCCUUUGCUCCCCGUUCCUCACCUGCGAAAUGGGUUUGUUAAUAAAAUACCAUUUAUUGAAAAGAA